RNAcentral lists this long non-coding RNA (327 nucleotides) under Oryza sativa Indica Group (long-grained rice). RNAcentral's name for it is "lncRNA OsPr106_11g0017420". Lineage: Eukaryota; Viridiplantae; Streptophyta; Magnoliopsida; Poales; Poaceae. The record is from RNAcentral.
CUAGCGUCUUCCUCUCAAGCGCCGCCGCAGUCGUGUUGCCUCCUGAUCAUCCGCCGCCAGAUCGCCGUCUUUGCUGUCCUCUUAGGUGCAGCCGCUGCGCACACCCACGGAGAUCGCCCUCAUGUCACCUCGCUGCCGUCUCACCAGAUCAUCGACGCACCGCCUCGCCAUACCGGUCCGGCGUCGACUCUGCACACGCUUCAGGUCUACCACGACAACUCUUUCAAGGGGAUCAGGGCAGGACAGAAGGAACACUAUGACCAUGUCCCCAUGGCCCAUGUCCAUGUACGCAUCAAGCUCCUAAGUGAUAAUCUGAUUGCCUGCUGA